Molecule: ribosomal RNA, 593 nt
Filed under: Phoma sp. NRRL 54108
Lineage: Eukaryota; Fungi; Ascomycota; Dothideomycetes; Pleosporales; Didymellaceae
Description: eukaryotic LSU rRNA
Rfam family: Eukaryotic large subunit ribosomal RNA
Source: RNAcentral
UUGACCUCGGAUCAGGUAGGGAUACCCGCUGAACUUAAGCAUAUCAAUAAGCGGAGGAAAAGAAACCAACAGGGAUUGCCCUAGUAACGGCGAGUGAAGCGGCAACAGCUCAAAUUUGAAAUCUGGCGUCUUCGGCGUCCGAGUUGUAAUUUGCAGAGGGCGCUUUGGCAUUGGCAGCGGUCCAAGUUCCUUGGAACAGGACGUCACAGAGGGUGAGAAUCCCGUACGUGGUCGCUAGCCUUUACCGUGUAAAGCCCCUUCGACGAGUCGAGUUGUUUGGGAAUGCAGCUCUAAAUGGGAGGUAAAUUUCUUCUAAAGCUAAAUACUGGCCAGAGACCGAUAGCGCACAAGUAGAGUGAUCGAAAGAUGAAAAGCACUUUGGAAAGAGAGUUAAAAAGCACGUGAAAUUGUUGAAAGGGAAGGCGCUUGCAGCCAGACUUGCCUGUAGUUGCUCAUCCGGGUUUCUACCCGGUGCACUCUUCUAUAGGGCAGGCCAGCAUCAGUUUGGGCGGUUGGAUAAAGGUCUCUGUCAUGUACCUCUCUUCGGGGAGAACUUAUAGGGGAGACGACAUGCAACCAGCCUGGACUGAAGG